CGCGGCCUAUCAGCUUGUUGGUGAGGUAACGGCUCACCAAGGCAUCGACGGGUAGCUGGUCUGAGAGGACGAUCAGCCACACUGGGACUGAGACACGGCCCAGACUCCUGCGGGAGGCAGCAGUGGGGAAUCUUGCGCAAUGGGCGAAAGCCUGACGCAGCAACGCCGCGUGGGGGAUGAAGGCUCUCGGGUUGUAAACCCCUUUCAGCAGGGACGAAAUUGACGGUACCUGCAGAAGAAGCCCCGGCCAACUACGUGCCAGCAGCCGCGGUAACACGUAGGGGGCGAGCGUUGUCCGGAAUUAUUGGGCGUAAAGAGCUCGUAGGCGGUUUAGUAAGUCAGAUGUGAAAGGUUGGGGCUCAACCCUAAGACUGCAUCCGAUACUGCUAUGACUAGAGUCCGGUAGAGGAGUGUGGAAUUCCUGGUGUAGCGGUGAAAUGCGCAGAUAUCAGGAGGAACACCGACGGCGAAGGCAGCACUCUGGGCCGGUACUGACGCUGAGGAGCGAAAGCGUGGGUAGCAAACAGGAUUAGAUACCCUGGUAGUCCACGCCGUAAACGUUGGGCACUAGGUGUGGGGCCUUAUCAACGGGUUCCGUGCCGUAGCUAACGCAUUAAGUGCCCCGCCUGGGGAGUACGG
This 639-nucleotide ribosomal RNA is filed under the name uncultured Actinomycetes bacterium. Its description in RNAcentral is "bacterial SSU rRNA". It matches the Rfam family "Bacterial small subunit ribosomal RNA", at positions 232 to 885 of the family's 1533-position model. Lineage: Bacteria; Bacillati; Actinomycetota; Actinomycetes. The record is from RNAcentral.